CAGAGUGUAGCUAAAAUAGGAAAGCACCUCCCUUACGCCGAGAAGACAUCCGUGCAAAUCGGGUCACCCUGA
This 72-nucleotide transfer RNA is filed under the name Oncorhynchus mykiss (rainbow trout). RNAcentral's name for it is "tRNA-Val". It matches the Rfam family "tRNA". Rfam says of the family: Transfer RNA (tRNA) molecules are approximately 80 nucleotides in length. Their secondary structure includes four short double-helical elements and three loops (D, anti-codon, and T loops). The record is from RNAcentral. Lineage: Eukaryota; Metazoa; Chordata; Actinopteri; Salmoniformes; Salmonidae.